Molecule: ribosomal RNA, 497 nt
Filed under: uncultured bacterium
Lineage: Bacteria
Description: partial 16S ribosomal RNA
Rfam family: Bacterial small subunit ribosomal RNA
Source: RNAcentral
GAUGAACGCUGGCGGCGUGCCUAAUACAUGCAAGUCGAGCGAACGGACGAGAAGCUUGCUUCUCUGAUGUUAGCGGCGGACGGGUGAGUAACACGUGGAUAACCUACCUAUAAGACUUGGAUAACUUCGGGAAACCGUAGCUAAUACCGGAUAAUAUUUUGAACCGCAUGGUUCAAAAGUGAAAGACGGUCUUGCUGUCACUUAUAGAUGGAUCCGCGCUGCAUUAGCUAGUUGGUAAGGUAACGGCUUACCAAGGCAACGAUGCAUAGCCGACCUGAGAGGGUGAUCGGCCACACUGGAACUGAGACACGGUCCAGAAUCCUACGGGAGGCAGCAGUAGGGAAUCUUCCGCAAUGGGCGAAAGCCUGACGGAGCAACGCCGCGUGAGUGAUGAAGGUCUUCGGAUCGUAAAACUCUGUUAUUAGGGAAGAACAUAUGUGUAAGUAACUGUGCACAUCUUGACGGUACCUAAUCAGAAAGCCACGGCUAACUACGUG